CUGAGAGCCUAUGGGAGCCGUAGGAAGUGUCACGUUACAGCAAAGAUCCUCAGUUUUCAAUAAAGAGAGUCAAGAAGAACAAGAACUUGUCAGACAGGCCACUUCCUGUAAGGAAUCUUCUCAGGUUUUUGCCUGCCAUAUGAGUUCUGUUAUACUCACAGACACCAUUCAAACAGUUUUAGAAACUUUAGGGUGUUUUCUAUCCAAAGCCAAUAAUUAUACGCAUAUUCUAGUUUCUGGGCAGUAGUAAUAACCAGAUUAAAUCGGGUACGUUUUUUAUCCGGCCGUGUAAAUACUGCCCCCUAGCCCUAACAGGAUAACAAAGUAUUGAGAUAAACUUUUGUUAUUGACCAAAUACUUAUUUUCCACCAUAAUUUGCAAAUAUAUUCAUAAAAAAUCCUACAAUGUGAUUUUCUGGAUUUUUUUUUCUCAUUUUGUCUAUCAUAGUUGACGUGUACCUAUGAUGAAAAUUACAGGCCUCUCUCAUCUUUUUAAGUGGGAGAACUUGCACAAUUGGUGGCUGACUAAAUACUUUUUUGCCCCACUGUAUAUUAUUAUAAUAAUAUAUAUAUUUUAUAUAUGUAUAAAAUAAUGUAUCUUUCGUCUCUCUGUUUUCGGAGAAAUAUUCUGAGCGAGGGAAACAGCGCCCCUCUGUCUCAGUAUGUGUAGCCCAUGUGUCUGAUGCUGUCUGGACCAAAAGAGUAUGACAUGUUACCGCCAUAGCGUUUGAUUGAUUUCAACAAGCAUUUGGCCUCCCUUGAUUAAAAAAAGUAUAACAUAUUUAGCCAAUCAGCAUUGAGCUGAGCUCAACUGUGGGUUGUACUGCUGCGCAAAACGCCUCCAAGGGAGGCCAGUUUGGAUUUGGCUUCACACCAAUCAAAUCUCAUCCUGAGCAAAACUUCACUGUCAGAAAAGUGUGUCUGUUUCUGGUCUGCUUGUGUUGAUGUCCUGCAGUAGCUAGCUUGCUAAAUCGGCCCUUUCCCAAGCCAUGGAUGGGGAUGGGAAUUUGGACUUGUGAUUUUGAUGCCGAUUCUCUCUACAGGCCAAUGGUUAUGACGGCAAUUCCGAUCUAACCAUAGAUCCAUAUAUUGUGCCACUGGCCUGAGACGAUUGAAGUUCAAUAUGUAGCCUUGAUGGAGCCUAGUAGGCUCACGUUAACUAGCAGGCUCAUGUUAACUAGUUAGCUAACUUAGCUGGUUCAUUGCUACCCAUGCGAGGAAGUUAGGCUAGCAAGCAUUUUAGCUAGGUAGCCUAUGAAAACAAAAACUAAAAGAGUACAAAAUCAUAGAUCGUUCUGCCAACAUGAAAGAGAGGAGGACGGCAUUGGCAUUCAACUAAUCUAUAAGUAGAGUGAGUCCCCACGCAAGCGCACACACACACACACAGACAGAAAUCAGUACCAUGGACAGCCACAUGAUAUUAAGCAACAUUGAUUGGACAAUUUUUUUUUCGGCAUCUGUGUUUGUUUUCAAUGUAUUAAACUAAGCAUAUAUAGCCUUGUUGAUUUGAUUAUGUUUAAAUGUUUAAUAUGGAAUGGUGCUGGAAUAGAGGCAGUGCUAACGUUGUCUUUGUGCUGACAUGCAGUAACUCAAAAUCAGUAGUUGUUUAGUAUACUGUGGAAACAUUAACCCGCUUGACCAUGCUGCAGGUCAUAUAACUGGUUGUUACAUGCAAUAUUUACUUUGUGAACUUCACCAGACAGAUGUUGCUCUCAGGUUUUGUGAUGAAACAAACAUAUGUGUAGUUGAAUUUAUUCUGCCACUAUGUGACUGUUGUCUUUUUGUUGUCACAGCCUUAUUGUAAAUCACGGUGGUGUAUGAACGAAUGGGUUAUAGAGCAAACAAUUCAAUUAUCGCAUCAUAGGUUUACCCCUACCUACAUGUACAAAUGACCUCGGCUAACCUGUACCCCCGCAGAUUGACUCAGUACUGGUACCCCCUGUAUAUAGCCUCGUUAUUGUUAUUUUAUUGUGUUACUUUUUAUUGUAUUUUUUACUUUAGUUUAUUUAGUAAAUAUUUUCUUAACUUUAUUUCUCGAACUGUGGAUUAAGGGCUUGUAAGUAAGCAUUUCACAGUAAGGUGUAAUACCUGUUAUAUUCAAUGAGUGACAAAUAACAUUUGAUUUGAAUAUAGCUUUUUUACUGGCUUGGCUUCCCCAGUGAUUUUUACCCACACAGCGCUACUGCUAGUCUUUCAAGUCCAACGUUUGAAAUGAUACAGCCUGUUUUGUCAAUAAACAGCAGCACUGCAUUCCUGC
This 2256-nucleotide long non-coding RNA is filed under the name Salmo salar (Atlantic salmon). Its description in RNAcentral is "lncRNA (ENSSSAG00000114379.1)". Lineage: Eukaryota; Metazoa; Chordata; Actinopteri; Salmoniformes; Salmonidae. The record is from RNAcentral.